Molecule: non-coding RNA, 1016 nt
Organism: Vicugna pacos (alpaca)
Lineage: Eukaryota; Metazoa; Chordata; Mammalia; Artiodactyla; Camelidae
Source: RefSeq, a predicted model, not a curated record
UCUCCUUUAUCAGAUGGGAACACUGCUUACAUGCUGUAUCUUGAGGUCCUCUGUGCUCCCAGGAGCAGGCCGCGUGGGGGGCAGACACCGUCUCCUCCUGGCUCUGCGGGAGCAGCCUCUGCCCCGGGAGAGGACUGUGCCCCAGGCUCAGAGGGCUGCAGCCCCGCCCGUAUUUCUACCCUCUUGGCCACCACCGGGCCCAGUCUGCUCUGCAGGGUACCCGUGAGUGUGCUGUGCGCAAAUGUGUAUGCGUGCGUGCGUGUGUAUCUGAGGCCUUGCACCCUCAAACCCCUGCUGGGUAGUGACUACGUGGGUCCCCAGCGACAGGCACCACGCAGUGUCAGGGCCUCCUGCUCCUCAGCGGCCCGCAGGCUCACCGGGGACCCCAGGGCUUCCCUGCUGCUGGGCUGCGGUUUGGCGGGGUGUCAGGAAGGUUCGCAGAGCCGGCACCUCGCAACGACCAGGGUGCUGCAAGGUGAAGCCACAUUAGCUUCGCUUUAGAGAAAGUGGGCAGUGCCUUUGCAGAAGCGGGUUGGAAGCUGCAAACUCACAUCAGCUCCUGGGGUAGGCACGCUGCUGCCCGGCCCGCGGGCGCGUUCCUGUGACGCCGUCGCCAAGUGGGAGCGCAAGAUCGUGGAAGGAAGGCUUGAGAGAGGAACACGAAGUGGGAACUGUGGUUGUGCCAGAGAGGGUUUCCUUUUCUCUCCCUUUUUUCGUAAUUUUCAGAAUUGGCCAUGAUGCUAAGAUCUUUUAUAUGAAGGGAAAUGUCUGCAGGGUGAUGAUAACCUGGGUCAUCCAUCAUUUUUAUUUCCGAAGGAUGGACGCGCCUGCUCCACUGGCCCUGGAACUUUCCUCCCCCUCAGCCGUUGGCUCUGGCCUCUCCCGAUGUUUAUUUCAACCUCACGAUUAAAGAAAAAUGUUAAGUGUGCAACAGCUCUUUUCCAAAUGCUGGAAAGAUCUGGAACCAGGCAGCCCCUUGGGAAAAGCUUCGAAAGGGGGAAAAAAACCCACGUUUA